RNAcentral lists this ribosomal RNA (2334 nucleotides) under Paenibacillus odorifer. RNAcentral's name for it is "bacterial LSU rRNA". It matches the Rfam family "Bacterial large subunit ribosomal RNA", at positions 589 to 2925 of the family's 2925-position model. The record is from RNAcentral. Lineage: Bacteria; Bacillati; Bacillota; Bacilli; Caryophanales; Paenibacillaceae.
AUGGGUGAUGGCGUGCCUUUUGUAGAAUGAACCGGCGAGUUACGUUUAACAUGCAAGGUUAAGCCGAGAAGGUGGAGCCGCAGCGAAAGCGAGUCUGAAUAGGGCGACUUAGUAUGUGGACGUAGACCCGAAACCGUGUGAUCUACCCCUGUCCAGGGUGAAGGUGCGGUAACACGCACUGGAGGCCCGAACCCACGUACGUUGAAAAGUGCGGGGAUGAGGUGGGGGUAGCGGAGAAAUUCCAAUCGAACUCGGAGAUAGCUGGUUCUCCCCGAAAUAGCUUUAGGGCUAGCCUCGGUAUAAGAGUAGUGGAGGUAGAGCACUGAUUGGGUGCGGGGUCCGCAAGGAUUACCAAGCUCAGUCAAACUCCGAAUGCCAUAUACUUAUUGCCGGGAGUCAGACAGUGAGUGCUAAGAUCCAUUGUCAAAAGGGAAACAGCCCAGACCAUCAGCUAAGGUCCCCAAGUGUGUGUUAAGUGGGAAAGGAUGUGGAGUUGCACAGACAACCAGGAUGUUGGCUUAGAAGCAGCCACCAUUGAAAGAGUGCGUAAUAGCUCACUGGUCGAGUGACUCUGCGCCGAAAAUGUAACGGGGCUAAACACACCACCGAAGCUAUGGCUAGAUGCUUUGCAUCUGGGGUAGGGGAGCGUUGUGUAGGGGUUGAAGGUGUACUGAAAAGAGCGCUGGACACUACACAAGUGAGAAUGCCGGUAUGAGUAACGAAAAGAUCAGUGAGAAUCUGAUCCGCCGAAAGCCCAAGGUUUCCUGAGGAAGGCUCGUCCGCUCAGGGUAAGUCGGGACCUAAGGCGAGGCCGAAAGGCGUAGUCGAAGGACAACAGUUUGAAAUUACUGUACCACCGUAAUCCGCUAUGAGCGAUGGGGUGACGCAGGAGGGUAGUGACGCGGACUGAUGGAUGUCCGUCUAAGCAGUGAGGCUGGUGUGUAGGCAAAUCCGCACAUCGUUAAGGCUGGGCUGUGAUGGGGAGCGAAAAUUAUAGUAGCGAAGGUCAUGAUCUCACACUGCCAAGAAAAGCCUCUAGCCAGGAGAAGGUGCCCGUACCGCAAACCGACACAGGUAGGCGAGAAGAGAAUUCUAAGGCGCGCGGAAGAACUCUCGUUAAGGAACUCGGCAAAAUGACCCCGUAACUUCGGGAGAAGGGGUGCCCCGGUAGUGUGAAUAGCACGAGGGGGCCGCAGUGAAAAGGCCCAAGCGACUGUUUAGCAAAAACACAGGUCUGUGCGAAGCCGCAAGGCGAAGUAUACGGGCUGACGCCUGCCCGGUGCUGGAAGGUUAAGGGGAGUGGUUAGGGGUAACCCGAAGCUAUGAACCGAAGCCCCAGUAAACGGCGGCCGUAACUAUAACGGUCCUAAGGUAGCGAAAUUCCUUGUCAGGUAAAUUCUGACCCGCACGAAUGGCGUAACGACUUGGGCGCUGUCUCAACGAGAGAUCCGGUGAAAUUUUAAUACCUGUGAAGAUGCAGGUUACCCGCGACAAGACGGAAAGACCCCAUGGAGCUUUACUGCAGCUUGAUAUUGAAUUUGGGUACGAUCUGUACAGGAUAGGUGGGAGCCGUAGAAAUCGGAGCGCAAGCUUCGGUGGAGGCGCCGUUGGGAUACCACCCUGAUCGUAUCUAGGUUCUAACCUAGUGCCCUUAUCGGGUACGGGGACCGUGUCAGGCGGGCAGUUUGACUGGGGCGGUCGCCUCCUAAAGAGUAACGGAGGCGUUCCAAGGUUCCCUCAGAAUGGUUGGAAAUCAUUCGCAGAGUGCAAAGGCAUAAGGGAGCUUGACUGCGAGACCUACAAGUCGAGCAGGGACGAAAGUCGGACUUAGUGAUCCGGUGGUACCGCAUGGAAGGGCCAUCGCUCAACGGAUAAAAGCUACCCUGGGGAUAACAGGCUUAUCUCCCCCAAGAGUCCACAUCGACGGGGAGGUUUGGCACCUCGAUGUCGGCUCAUCGCAUCCUGGGGCUGAAGUAGGUCCCAAGGGUUGGGCUGUUCGCCCAUUAAAGCGGUACGCGAGCUGGGUUCAGAACGUCGUGAGACAGUUCGGUCCCUAUCUGUCGUGGGCGCAGGAAAUUUGAGAGGAGCUGUCCUUAGUACGAGAGGACCGGGAUGGACGUACCGCUGGUGCACCAGUUGUUCCGCCAGGAGCAUGGCUGGGUAGCUACGUACGGACGGGAUAAGCGCUGAAAGCAUCUAAGCGUGAAGCCCCCCUCAAGAUGAGAUUUCCCAAUUAGUAAGACCCCUUGAAGACGACGAGGUAGAUAGGUUGGAGGUGGAAGUGCAGUAAUGCAUGGAGCUGACCAAUACUAAUCGGUCGAGGGCUUAUCCUAU